RNAcentral lists this microRNA (23 nucleotides) under Branchiostoma floridae (Florida lancelet). Its description in RNAcentral is "bfl-miR-4901". Lineage: Eukaryota; Metazoa; Chordata; Leptocardii; Amphioxiformes; Branchiostomatidae. The record is from miRBase by way of RNAcentral.
UGAUUAUUUUUGGAUGGCCUGUG